RNAcentral lists this ribosomal RNA (452 nucleotides) under uncultured organism. RNAcentral describes it as "partial 16S ribosomal RNA". It matches the Rfam family "Bacterial small subunit ribosomal RNA", at positions 331 to 799 of the family's 1533-position model. The record is from RNAcentral.
GUACACUCCUACGGGAGGCAGCAGUGGGGAAUAUUGGACAAUGGGCGCAAGCCUGAUCCAGCCAUGCCGCGUGAGUGAUGAAGGCCCUAGGGUUGUAAAGCUCUUUCACCGGAGAAGAUAAUGACGGUAUCCGGAGAAGAAGCCCCGGCUAACUUCGUGCCAGCAGCCGCGGUAAUACGAAGGGGGCUAGCGUUGUUCGGAAUUACUGGGCGUAAAGCGCACGUAGGCGGAUCGAUCAGUCAGGGGUGAAAUCCCAGGGCUCAACCCUGGAACUGCCUUUGAUACUGUCGAUCUGGAGUAUGGAAGAGGUGAGUGGAAUUCCGAGUGUAGAGGUGAAAUUCGUAGAUAUUCGGAGGAACACCAGUGGCGAAGGCGGCUCACUGGUCCAUUACUGACGCUGAGGUGCGAAAGCGUGGGGAGCAAACAGGAUUAGAAACCCGGGUAGUCCCAUG